RNAcentral lists this ribosomal RNA (510 nucleotides) under uncultured bacterium. RNAcentral's name for it is "partial 16S ribosomal RNA". It matches the Rfam family "Bacterial small subunit ribosomal RNA", at positions 28 to 507 of the family's 1533-position model. The record is from RNAcentral.
GACGAACGCUGGCGGCGUGCUUAACGCAUGCAAGUCGAACGAAGAGCGCUGGAUGCUUGCUUCUAUCAAUCUUAGUGGCGUACGGGAGAGUAACGGGUAAUCAACCUGCCCUUCAGAGGGGGACAACAGUUGGAAACGACUGCUAAUACCGCAUACGAUCUAAUCUCGGCAUCGAGGAUAGAUGAAAGGUGGCCUCUACAUGUAAGCUAUCACUGAAGGAUGGGAUUGCGUCUGAUUAGCUAGUGGGUGGGGUAAUGGCCCACCAAGGCGAUGAGCAGUAGCCGGUCUGAGAGGAUGAACGGCCACAUGGGGACGGAGACACGGCCCAGACUCCUACGGGAGGCAGCAGUGGGGAAGCUUCCGCAAUGGACGAAAGUCGGACGGAGCAACGCCGCGUGAGCGAUGACGGCCCUCGGGUUGUAAAGCUCUGUUAAUCGGGACGAAAGGCUUUCUUGCGAAUAGUGAGAAGGAUUGACGGUACCGGAAUAGAAAGCCACGGCUAACUACGUG